ACGGCGGUGGCAGACAAGCAAUGCACGGGUCUCCAAAACCCGAGGAUGUGGGGGCAGUACCUACCCGCCGUGCCA
RNAcentral lists this transfer RNA (75 nucleotides) under Prosthecobacter vanneervenii. RNAcentral's name for it is "tRNA-Trp". Lineage: Bacteria; Pseudomonadati; Verrucomicrobiota; Verrucomicrobiia; Verrucomicrobiales; Verrucomicrobiaceae. The record is from RNAcentral.